UUAAGUUCAGCGGGUAGUCCUACCUGAUUCGAGGUCAAAAACAAGAAGUCGGGGGUUUUACGGCGUGGCCGCGCUGCUCUCCGGUGCGAGGUGUGCUACUACGCAAAGGAAGCUGCAGCGUGACCGCCACUGUAUUUGGGGGACGGCGCGGCACGAAGCCGGGAUGCCGAUCCCCAACGCCAAGCAGAGCUUGAGGGUUG
RNAcentral lists this unclassified non-coding RNA (200 nucleotides) under Myxocephala sp. RNAcentral's name for it is "partial internal transcribed spacer 2". Lineage: Eukaryota; Fungi; Ascomycota; Sordariomycetes. The record is from RNAcentral.